CCACCGACAUUUGGCAUCCCCUCACAACUCCUUUUGCUUCCCUCAGCUGUAUUUCCAUCACUUCCAUCACUAGAACCUUGAGUCUCCGCACUCUGAGAUAGCCUGUGGUCCCCGCCCUCAGCACUCUCCGCAUUAGUAUUACCAUUGCCUAUUGACAUUGCAAGCCCAUCAAAUCUUUUCAACUUCUUCAUUAAACCCCUAUCUGUAUUUCCAGUAGAUUUUUUAGGCGUUUCUACACUCACAGGUGUUGCGGCAGCAGGUGAUGAUGGAACACCAGAAACAUUAGGAUGCAAUCCAAUUGGAACUGUUGGAUGCGCAUAUACUCCUCCAUGAGAGUACACUGCUGCAUAAGGGGCUCCAUAAGGUGGCAUCAUAGGCUGUGG
RNAcentral lists this unclassified non-coding RNA (383 nucleotides) under Hevea brasiliensis (rubber tree). The record is from RNAcentral. Lineage: Eukaryota; Viridiplantae; Streptophyta; Magnoliopsida; Malpighiales; Euphorbiaceae.